RNAcentral lists this ribosomal RNA (496 nucleotides) under Candida albicans. RNAcentral describes it as "eukaryotic LSU rRNA". The stretch from base 146 to 299 matches the Rfam family "5.8S ribosomal RNA". The record is from RNAcentral. Lineage: Eukaryota; Fungi; Ascomycota; Pichiomycetes; Serinales; Debaryomycetaceae.
AAUUAUGCUGAUUGCUUAUUGCACCACAUGUGUUUUUCUUUGAAACAAACUUGCUUUGGCGGUGGGCCCAGCCUGCCGCCAGAGGUCUAAACUUACAACCAAUUUUUUAUCAACUUGUCACACCAGAUUAUUACUUAAUAGUCAAAACUUUCAACAACGGAUCUCUUGGUUCUCGCAUCGAUGAAGAACGCAGCGAAAUGCGAUACGUAAUAUGAAUUGCAGAUAUUCGUGAAUCAUCGAAUCUUUGAACGCACAUUGCGCCCUCUGGUAUUCCGGAGGGCAUGCCUGUUUGAGCGUCGUUUCUCCCUCAAACCGCUGGGUUUGGUGUUGAGCAAUACGACUUGGGUUUGCUUGAAAGACGGUAGUGGUAAGGCGGGAUCGCUUUGACAAUGGCUUAGGUCUAACCAAAAACAUUGCUUGCGGCGGUAACGUCUACCACGUAUAUCUUCAAACUUUGACCUCAAAUCAGGUAGGACUACCCGCUGAACUUAAGCAU